RNAcentral lists this transfer RNA (71 nucleotides) under Loxodonta africana (African savanna elephant). It matches the Rfam family "tRNA". Rfam says of the family: Transfer RNA (tRNA) molecules are approximately 80 nucleotides in length. Their secondary structure includes four short double-helical elements and three loops (D, anti-codon, and T loops). Further hydrogen bonds mediate the characteristic L-shaped molecular structure. tRNAs have two regions of fundamental functional importance: the anti-codon, which is responsible for specific mRNA codon recognition, and the 3' end, to which the tRNAs corresponding amino acid is attached (by aminoacyl-tRNA synthetases). tRNAs cope with the degeneracy of the genetic code in two manners: having more than one tRNA (with a specific anti-codon) for a particular amino acid; and 'wobble' base-pairing, i.e. permitting non-standard base-pairing at the 3rd anti-codon position. Lineage: Eukaryota; Metazoa; Chordata; Mammalia; Proboscidea; Elephantidae. The record is from Rfam by way of RNAcentral.
GCAGUGGUGGUUCAGUGGCUGAAUUCUAACCUUCCAUGCUGGAGAUCUGGGUUCGAUUCCUGGCCAAUGCC